CCCUUAGAUGUUCUGGGCUGCACGCGCGCUACACUGAAGCGUUCAACGGGUAUUCACCUUGCCCGGGAGGGUUGGGUAAUCUUUUCAAAACGCUUCGUGAUGGGGAUAGAUUAUUGCAAUUAUUAAUCUUCAACGAGGAAUUCCUAGUAAGCGCGAGUCAUCAGCUCGUGCUGAUUACGUCCCUGCCCUUUGUACACACCGCCCGUCGCUACUACCGAUUGAAUGGCUUAGUGAGCCUUUGGGAUUGGCAGCUUGUACCGGCAACGGUAGCAGGCCGCUGAAAACUUAGGCAAACUUGGUCAUUUAGAGGAAGUAAAAGUCGUAACA
RNAcentral lists this ribosomal RNA (327 nucleotides) under uncultured eukaryote. Its description in RNAcentral is "partial 18S ribosomal RNA". It matches the Rfam family "Eukaryotic small subunit ribosomal RNA", at positions 1470 to 1796 of the family's 1831-position model. The record is from RNAcentral.